RNAcentral lists this ribosomal RNA (353 nucleotides) under uncultured Acidobacteriota bacterium. Its description in RNAcentral is "bacterial SSU rRNA". It matches the Rfam family "Bacterial small subunit ribosomal RNA", at positions 172 to 505 of the family's 1533-position model. Lineage: Bacteria; Pseudomonadati; Acidobacteriota. The record is from RNAcentral.
CAUGACAUCCCGCUUUUGAAUAGGCGGAGAUUCAAGAGGAGAAAUCGCAAGACCCGGCGCUUGAUGAGGGGCCCGCGUCCGAUUAGCUAGUUGGUGAGGUAACGGCUCACCAAGGCAACGAUCGGUAUCCGGCCUGAGAGGGCGGACGGACACACUGGGACUGAGACACGGCCCAGACUCCUACGGGAGGCAGCAGUGGGGAAUUGUUCGCAAUGGGCGCAAGCCUGACGACGCAAUGCCGCGUGGAGGAUGAAGGUCUUCGGAUUUUAUUUUCCUGUUGCCAGGGACGAAUGGCUCCGACCUAAUACGUCGGAGUAUGACGGUACCUGGUGAGGAAGCCCCGGCUAACUCUG